Molecule: long non-coding RNA, 260 nt
Filed under: Nicotiana benthamiana
Lineage: Eukaryota; Viridiplantae; Streptophyta; Magnoliopsida; Solanales; Solanaceae
Description: long non-coding RNA (NBEN_LNC005932)
Source: RNAcentral
AGCUUUACUCGACGUCGAAAACAUAAAAAAUACAUAUACCGCUUCUUGUUCAGAACUUUUGCCUUUAGCAAAAAAAAUAUUUGCAUCAUCCACAGAUAUCACAAUAUACACAAAGAAAAUACAAAGAAGAAUUCAUUCAUGAGACUCUGUAACGAGGCAUAUAAACUUACCAUUUUUCAAAGUGAAAGAGUGAAAGAGAAAAUAGUAGCGUUAUACACGUUUUGUGAUUUCACUGGUAGUAGUGUGUAACGUCUUCCAAA